Molecule: long non-coding RNA, 1384 nt
Organism: Cyprinodon tularosa
Lineage: Eukaryota; Metazoa; Chordata; Actinopteri; Cyprinodontiformes; Cyprinodontidae
Exons: 3
Source: RefSeq, a predicted model, not a curated record
UGCAUACUCCCAAAAUAAAACCUUACCAAGCCCAUUUUCUGUCUUAUUACCAUUAGAACUUGUUCCUCUCAUCCUCCUCCAUAACUCCACCUAUCAGUCACAAACAACAGGGAAGCCCUGCAGGCGCGCGCUGCUGAGCUGAGAAACACAAUCCAGCCUUUGAAUGUGAGCAAUGAAUGUUUGGAAGAUAGCAGAUGUGAACUAAAACAGGUCACCUUGUUAAGAAGCACAGACAAGUGGCGGAGAUAAAGCAAAACACCUUGAAAUGCCAUUGGUGGUGAGUGAUAGUGCAGAGAUGUUAUCGCAGAGUAAUCAGCGCGAUCAGCAGGGAGUUAUCUGUGUCAGAUGGACAGUUUUUACUUUUUUUUUUUAUUCCUGCACACAUCCACACCGGGAGCCUGGAGCAGGCUGCCCUUCACCUACCGUACCUUUGGUGUGAGCGGCGCUCAGCCCCGCAGCAAGCGCAGCCAACACGCAGACCAGCCUCAGCCUCAGCAUCUUCUCGGUGGGAGAUUCAGCAACUGCUGUAGGAGAUGGACCACAGCGACCUCUUCCCUCCUCCUCCUCCUCCUUCUGCUUCUCUCUCCUCUCUUUUUCUUCUUGCCACCCUUUCUUUCUGAUUUAAGGAGCGGUUUCUCUCCUCCGUCUCUGUCAGAGUGGAAACAGUUGACUGUCGGAUGCGGGACAGGAGGAGCGGCGUGGAGAAGCAGCAGCAGUCCGACCCUGACGCGCGUCUCUCCGUAGCUACGAGAAGCGGCAGGUGAGGCGGACUGAGCCGAGCUGAGACGGGACCAGAGAGCGGCGCACCUCCAGUCCACACCGAGCGACGUCACAGGGAGGAGAGACGGAGCCACUUCUCAGCAGCAUCUGAGCUCCGUCUCAGGUGACUUCAACCUACUAUUCCUUGUCACGAUUUGGCUAAGUUGCCCUGGAAGUCCCAGGAAACGGCAUAAAGAAAAGCCCAGUUUAAAGUCGGUUUCUCCACCUCUAUGAAGGACCCUCUCAGAAACGCCGUCCCAUGGACUCUCUGCUUCUUUUCCUCCAGCAGUCUGGCUGGAGAUCCCUCUGUGCACAGCGAGUGUGACAGAUAGAAAAGCACUCUCAUGGAUCUUAAUUUGAUCAUUUGCUGAACACAUGGAGAGAACAGAAACUCCAUCUUCUUCAUUUCUGAACCUAAUGGUCCAUUGUGCUGCUAUUUGGAAUGUAAUCAUAGAAAGAAACGAACCCCUUUACUGUAGUUGUGCAUUGUUUUGUGUCAGACUAAAGUGGUAGUUAAACCCUUUUUUUUCUCCACUCUAUGGAGAAAACAUUUGAACUUGAUGUUGCAGACCAACCAAGGCUGAUGCCUCUUGGAUGUUGUUGUCAUUCUGUUUCCUGUUGCUAC